GACGAACGCUGGCGGCGUGCUUAACACAUGCAAGUCGAACGGAAAGGCCCUGCUUUUGUGGGGUGCUCGAGUGGCGAACGGGUGAGUAACACGUGAGUAACCUGCCCUUGACUUUGGGAUAACUUCAGGAAACUGGGGCUAAUACCGGAUAGGAGCUCCUGCUGCAUGGUGGGGGUUGGAAAGUUUCGGCGGUUGGGGAUGGACUCGCGGCUUAUCAGCUUGUUGGUGGGGUAGUGGCUUACCAAGGCUUUGACGGGUAGCCGGCCUGAGAGGGUGACCGGCCACAUUGGGACUGAGAUACGGCCCAGACUCCUGCGGGAGGCAGCAGUGGGGAAUAUUGCACAAUGGGCGGAAGCCUGAUGCAGCAACGCCGCGUGCGGGAUGACGGCCUUCGGGUUGUAAACCGCUUUCGCCUGUGAUGAAGCGUGAGUGACGGUAAUGGGUAAAGAAGCACCGGCUAACUACGUG
Molecule: ribosomal RNA, 468 nt
Filed under: uncultured bacterium
Lineage: Bacteria
Description: partial 16S ribosomal RNA
Rfam family: Bacterial small subunit ribosomal RNA
Source: RNAcentral